RNAcentral lists this ribosomal RNA (812 nucleotides) under uncultured bacterium. RNAcentral describes it as "bacterial SSU rRNA". It matches the Rfam family "Bacterial small subunit ribosomal RNA", at positions 638 to 1449 of the family's 1533-position model. The record is from RNAcentral.
UGACUNGAGUGCAGAAGGGGAGAGUGGAAUUCCAUGUGUAGCGGUGAAAUGCGUAGAUAUAUGGAGGANCACCAGUGGCGAAAGCGGCUCUCUGGUCUGUCACUGACGCUGAGGCUCGAAAGCGUGGGUAGCGAACAGGAUUAGAUACCCUGGUAGUCCACGCCGUAAACGAUGAGUGCUAGGUGUUAGGCCCUUUCCGGGGCUUAGUGCCGGAGCUAACGCAAUAAGCACUCCGCCUGGGGAGUACGACCGCAAGGUUGAAACUCAAAGGAAUUGACGGGGGCCCGCACAAGCGGUGGAGCAUGUGGUUUAAUUCGAAGCAACGCGAAGAACCUUACCAGGUCUUGACAUCCCGAUGCUAUUCUUAGAGAUAGGAAGUUACUUCGGUACAUCGGAGACAGGUGGUGCAUGGUUGUCGUCAGCUCGUGUCGUGAGAUGUUGGGUUAAGUCCCGCAACGAGCGCAACCCUUAUUGUUAGUUGCCAUCAUUAAGUUGGGCACUCUAGCGAGACUGCCGGUAAUAAACCGGAGGAAGGUGGGGAUGACGUCAAAUCAUCAUGCCCCUUAUGACCUGGGCUACACACGUGCUACAAUGGUCGGUACAACGAGUUGCGAGCCGGUGACGGCAAGCUAAUCUCUGAAAGCCGAUCUCAGUUCGGAUUGGAGGCUGCAACUCGCCUCCAUGAAGUCGGAAUCGCUAGUAAUCGCGGAUCAGCACGCCGCGGUGAAUACGUUCCCGGGCCUUGUACACACCGCCCGUCACACCACGAGAGUUUGUAACACCCGAAGUCGGUGAGGUAACCUUUUAGGGGC